AGGCAAUCUGUCUACACCAUCAAGUCACCUGACUGAUCACUAGGGUUGAUUUGGUUGACCUGGCUGGCAAGGCUGAUAUUCCCUUCCUAGCCCCAUUUUUGUUCCUGCUGAAGUUGAGCACUGGAUCAAAGUGACCUUCCCAGAAGAGAGGAGGACUAGUCCUCAAUAAAGAGUAUACAAGUG
RNAcentral lists this small nuclear RNA (183 nucleotides) under Cricetulus griseus (Chinese hamster). Its description in RNAcentral is "7SK RNA". It matches the Rfam family "7SK RNA", at positions 1 to 200 of the family's 331-position model. Rfam says of the family: 7SK was discovered as an abundant small nuclear RNA in the mid-70s but a possible function has only recently been suggested. Two independent studies have found that 7SK RNA binds the CDK9/cyclin T complex (known as elongation factor P-TEFb). Lineage: Eukaryota; Metazoa; Chordata; Mammalia; Rodentia; Cricetidae. The record is from Rfam by way of RNAcentral.